This 449-nucleotide ribosomal RNA is filed under the name uncultured bacterium. RNAcentral describes it as "bacterial SSU rRNA". It matches the Rfam family "Bacterial small subunit ribosomal RNA", at positions 355 to 796 of the family's 1533-position model. The record is from RNAcentral.
UGGGGAAUCUUGCGCAAUGGGCGAAAGCCUGACGCAGCGACGCCGCGUGGAGGAUGAAGGUCUUCGGAUUGUAAACUUCUGUUAAGUGGGAGGAAAUGCCGAUUAAUAAUACGAAUCGGAGCUGACUGUACCAUUAGAGAAAGCACCGGCUAAACUCGUGCCAGCAGCCGCGGUAAUACGAGUGGUGCAAGCGUUAUUCGGAAUCAUUGGGCGUAAAGGGUGUGUAGACGGCAUAUUAAGUCAACUGUUAAAUUCUCCGGCCUAACCGGAGGCUCAUAGUAGAUACUGGUGUGCUAGAGGGUGAAAGAGAGAAGUGGAAUUCUCGGAGUAGCGGUAAAAUGCGUAGAUCUCGAGAGGAACACCAAUGGCGAAAGCAGCUUCUUGGUUCAUUUCUGACGUUGAAACACGAAAGCGUGGGGAGCAAACAGGAUUAGAUACCCGUGUAGUCC